RNAcentral lists this ribosomal RNA (1398 nucleotides) under Stenotrophomonas maltophilia. RNAcentral's name for it is "bacterial LSU rRNA". It matches the Rfam family "Bacterial large subunit ribosomal RNA", at positions 1551 to 2925 of the family's 2925-position model. The record is from RNAcentral. Lineage: Bacteria; Pseudomonadati; Pseudomonadota; Gammaproteobacteria; Lysobacterales; Lysobacteraceae.
UAAGACCGAGCACCGAGACGAGCCUUUAUGGCGAAGUCACUGAUACCACGCUUCCAGGAAAAGCUCCUAAGCUUCAGCUUACGCAGACCGUACCGUAAACCGACACAGGUGGGUAGGAUGAGAAUUCUCAGGCGCUUGAGAGAACUCGGGUGAAGGAACUAGGCAACAUGGCACCGUAACUUCGGGAGAAGGUGCACCCUUUUUGGUGGCUCGUGCGAGCUAUAGCUGAAGAGGGUCGCAGUAACCAGGCCGCUGCGACUGUUUAUCAAAAACACAGCACUCUGCAAACACGAAAGUGGACGUAUAGGGUGUGACGCCUGCCCGGUGCUGGAAGGUUAAUUGAUGGGGUCAGCCGCAAGGCGAAGCUCUUGAUCGAAGCCCCAGUAAACGGCGGCCGUAACUAUAACGGUCCUAAGGUAGCGAAAUUCCUUGUCGGGUAAGUUCCGACCUGCACGAAUGGCGUAACGACAGCGGCGCUGUCUCCACCCGAGACUCAGUGAAAUUGAAAUCGCUGUGAAGAUGCAGCGUUCCCGUGGCAAGACGGAAAGACCCCGUGAACCUUUACUAUAGCUUUACACUGAACGUUGAGUUCGUCUGUGUAGGAUAGGUGGGAGGCUAUGAAACUGUGGCGCUAGCUGCAGCGGAGCCAUCCUUGAAAUACCACCCUGUCGUGCUUGACGUUCUAACCUGGGCCCAUUAUCUGGGUCGGGGACCGUGUAUGGUGGGUAGUUUGACUGGGGCGGUCUCCUCCUAAAGAGUAACGGAGGAGCUCGAAGGUACGCUCAGCGCGGUCGGACAUCGCGCACUGUGUGCAAAGGCAUAAGCGUGCUUGACUGCAAGAUCGACGGAUCAAGCAGGUAGGAAACUAGGACUUAGUGAUCCGGUGGUUCUGUAUGGAAGGGCCAUCGCUCAACGGAUAAAAGGUACUCCGGGGAUAACAGGCUGAUACCGCCCAAGAGUUCAUAUCGACGGCGGUGUUUGGCACCUCGAUGUCGGCUCAUCACAUCCUGGGGCUGUAGUCGGUCCCAAGGGUAUGGCUGUUCGCCAUUUAAAGUGGUACGCGAGCUGGGUUCAGAACGUCGUGAGACAGUUCGGUCCCUAUCUGCCAUGGGCGUUGGAGAUUUGAGAGGGGCUGCUCCUAGUACGAGAGGACCGGAGUGGACGAACCUCUGGUGUUCCGGUUGUCACGCCAGUGGCAUUGCCGGGUAGCUAUGUUCGGAAGCGAUAACCGCUGAAAGCAUCUAAGCGGGAAGCGCGCCUCAAGAUGAGAUCUCCCGGGGCACAAGCCCCCUGAAGGAACCAUGUAGACUACGUGGUUGAUAGGUCAGGUGUGUAAGUACAGCAAUGUAUUGAGCUAACUGAUACUAAUGAUCCGUGCGGCUUGACCAUAUAACCUCA